Molecule: non-coding RNA, 451 nt
Organism: Pelobates cultripes (western spadefoot toad)
Lineage: Eukaryota; Metazoa; Chordata; Amphibia; Anura; Pelobatidae
Source: the annotation of a GenBank genome assembly
CGACUGGCUCUGUGGUUACUUGAAAAACAAGUCUCGGAAGAAGGCGCGUUCUAUAGCGCCGAAACAUGUGUUAGGCAGGGAGACCAGCGAUUCAAUCUCUUCCUAUAUUUGAAUCUCUCAUCAUCGAUAGAUUUAGGGAGAUUACAGCUGUUGCGUGGAUGUUUGGCUAAGGUUUCUUCAAGCUUCUUCAUUGAGCUGACUAUCUGGGUUAUCUAAGGCGGUUGGUGGGAAUCAACAUUUAUAGAUCCCCUGUGUGGGAUGCUUUAUGCCUUCCACUCUGUGAUUUCACACCAAGGGAUACUAUGUAUUUAUUCUACCUGGAUAUACUGACAUCUUUUAUCCCCUGAUACAUUGUUUAUAUGUAUCACUUUGUUGCCAUACCCCAGCAUUGCAUUCAGUCAGUGUUUUUCAAGUAACCACAGAGCCAGUCGUGUAUAUUACAUCUAGCAGC